RNAcentral lists this transfer RNA (75 nucleotides) under Homoserinimonas hongtaonis. RNAcentral describes it as "Salinibacterium hongtaonis tRNA-Gln". It matches the Rfam family "tRNA". Rfam says of the family: Transfer RNA (tRNA) molecules are approximately 80 nucleotides in length. Their secondary structure includes four short double-helical elements and three loops (D, anti-codon, and T loops). Further hydrogen bonds mediate the characteristic L-shaped molecular structure. tRNAs have two regions of fundamental functional importance: the anti-codon, which is responsible for specific mRNA codon recognition, and the 3' end, to which the tRNAs corresponding amino acid is attached (by aminoacyl-tRNA synthetases). tRNAs cope with the degeneracy of the genetic code in two manners: having more than one tRNA (with a specific anti-codon) for a particular amino acid; and 'wobble' base-pairing, i.e. permitting non-standard base-pairing at the 3rd anti-codon position. Lineage: Bacteria; Bacillati; Actinomycetota; Actinomycetes; Micrococcales; Microbacteriaceae. The record is from RNAcentral.
UCCGCCUUGGUGUAACGGCAGCACGGCAGUCUUUGGAACUGUUAGGACCAGGUUCGAAUCCUGGAGGCGGAGCCG